Molecule: ribosomal RNA, 481 nt
Filed under: uncultured bacterium
Lineage: Bacteria
Description: partial 16S ribosomal RNA
Rfam family: Bacterial small subunit ribosomal RNA
Source: RNAcentral
UUGAACGCUGGCGGCAUGCCUUACACAUGCAAGUCGAACGGUAACAGGUCUUCGGAUGCUGCCGAGUGGCGAACGGGUGAGUAAUACAUCGGAACGUGCCCGAUCGUGGGGGAUAACGAAGCGAAAGCUUUGCUAAUACCGCAUACGAUCUACGGAUGAAAGCAGGGGACCGCAAGGCCUUGCGCGAACGGAGCGGCCGAUGGCAGAUUAGGUAGUUGGUGGGAUAAAAGCUUACCAAGCCGACGAUCUGUAGCUGGUCUGAGAGGACGACCAGCCACACUGGGACUGAGACACGGCCCAGACUCCUACGGGAGGCAGCAGUGGGGAAUUUUGGACAAUGGGCGAAAGCCUGAUCCAGCCAUGCCGCGUGCAGGAUGAAGGCCUUCGGGUUGUAAACUGCUUUUGUACGGAACGAAAAGACUCUGGUUAAUACCUGGGGUCCAUGACGGUACCGUAAGAAUAAGCACCGGCUAACUACGUG